CUGCACUCUCUGCCGCAAGCCGGAGGGGAACCGCCGCCGCCGCUUCGCCGCAGGAGCUGCACCGCCCCCCGGGAGCUGCAUUAUCCUAACGGGAAGCUGUCAGGCUGGUGGAGUGUCAGGGAGUGGCAAGAACACUGUAUGAAAAAAAAGCUACACAGAAAACCUGCAAAACAGCAGCAGUCCAAGGUUCACAAAUGGCAAAAGACACUGGUAACUGGGAGACAUUACU
Long non-coding RNA from Apus apus (common swift), 229 nucleotides. RefSeq lists it as uncharacterized. The record is from RefSeq and is a predicted model, not a curated record. NCBI's taxonomy places the organism in Eukaryota, Metazoa, Chordata, Aves, Apodiformes, Apodidae. The transcript has 3 exons.